Molecule: ribosomal RNA, 451 nt
Filed under: uncultured bacterium
Lineage: Bacteria
Description: partial 16S ribosomal RNA
Rfam family: Bacterial small subunit ribosomal RNA
Source: RNAcentral
AACGAACGCUGGCGGCAGGCCUAACACAUGCAAGUCGAACGGAUGUAGCAAUACAUUAGUGGCGCACGGGUGCGUAACACGUGGGAACAUACCCCUUGGUAAGGAAUAAUAUCUGGAAACGGAUACUAAUACCUUAUAAUAUCUUCGGAUCAAAGAUUUAUCGCCAAGGGAUUGGCCCGCGUCUGAUUAGCUAGUUGGUGAGGUAACGGCUCACCAAGGCGACGAUCAGUAGCUGGUCUGAGAGGAUGAUCAGCCACACUGGGACUGAGACACGGCCCAGACUCCUACGGGAGGCAGCAGUAAGGAAUAUUGGACAAUGGGCGAAAGCUUGAUCCAGCCAUGCCGCGUGAGUGAAGAAGGCCUUAGGGUUGUAAAGCUCUUUCAAUGGUGAAGAUAAUGACGGUAGCCAUAGAAGAAGCCCCGGCUAAAUUCGUGCCAGCAGCCGCGGUAA